Molecule: transfer RNA, 90 nt
Filed under: Candidatus Ruthia magnifica str. Cm (Calyptogena magnifica)
Lineage: Bacteria; Pseudomonadati; Pseudomonadota; Gammaproteobacteria; Pseudothioglobaceae (SeqCode)
Description: tRNA-Ser (TGA) (tRNA-Ser-TGA-1-1)
Rfam family: tRNA
About the family: Transfer RNA (tRNA) molecules are approximately 80 nucleotides in length.
Source: RNAcentral
GGAGGGAUGGCAGAGCGGCUGAAUGCACCGGUCUUGAAAACCGGCAAGGGUUAAUGCCCUUCUAGGGUUCAAAUCCCUAUCCCUCCACCA